Molecule: ribosomal RNA, 246 nt
Filed under: uncultured bacterium
Lineage: Bacteria
Description: partial 16S ribosomal RNA
Rfam family: Bacterial small subunit ribosomal RNA
Source: RNAcentral
UCUUCCUACGGGAGGCAGCAGUGGGGAAUAUUGCACAAUGGGGGGAACCCUGAUGCAGCGACGCCGCGUGGGUGAAGGAGUACUUCGGUACGUAAAGCCCUAUCAGCAGGAAAGAAAAUGACGGUACCUGACUAAGAAGCCCCGGCUAACUACGUGCCAGCAGCCGCGGUAAUACGUAGGGGGCAAGCGUUAUCCGGAUUUACUGGGUGUAAAGGGAGCGUAGACGGCAGCGCAAGUCCGUAGUGA